AUUGAACGCUGGCGGCAUGCCUUACACAUGCAAGUCGAGCGGCAGCGCGGGGGCAACCCUGGCGGCGAGCGGCGAACGGGUGAGUAAUACAUCGGAACGUGUCCUGUCGUGGGGGAUAGCCAGUCGAAAGAUUGGCUAAUACCGCAUGACCUCGUAAGAGAAAAGCGGGGGAUCGCAAGACCUCGCGCGAUUGGAGCGGCCGAUGUCGGAUUAGCUAGUUGGCGGGGUAAAAGCCCACCAAGGCGACGAUCAGUAGCUGAUGUGAGAGCAUGAUCAGCCACACGGGAACUGAGAAACGGGCCCGACUCCUACGGGAGGCAGCAGUAAGGAAUAUUGGACAAUGGACGCAAGUCUGAUCCAGCCAUGCCGCGUGAAGGAUUAAGGUCCUCUGGAUUGUAAACUUCUUUUAUAAGGGACGAAAAAAGGUCUUUCUAGAUCGUCUGACGGUACCUUAUGAAUAAGCACCGGCUAACUCCGUGCCAGCAGCCGCCGUAA
This 495-nucleotide ribosomal RNA is filed under the name uncultured bacterium. RNAcentral describes it as "partial 16S ribosomal RNA". It matches the Rfam family "Bacterial small subunit ribosomal RNA", at positions 30 to 523 of the family's 1533-position model. The record is from RNAcentral.